ACCUGGCCUCCCGCCUGCCCCCACCCCCGCACUCAACACCGCCCUGACAUCGCGUGCUGCCAAGGCAACGCGCAACCCGGGGCGUUGUGAUUCAGCAAGCACAGACCUGCUUCGCGCCACGUGGGACCUCCCCAGCGUGCUGGCUGCCCCCUGACGUUUUCAUUCAUUUUUAUAUUCCCAGUGCAGCCUCGCCAGAGACCCUUCUCGGGAUCCCGCAGACCUUAGGAUCCCUCCUGGGGUUUAAUGAGAGUGUUCCUGUCACUUGAGAGCAUCCUCUGGCUGUGCUAUGAAAAUGUCUGGUGUCUCUAUCAUUAUCAGAUCCUGCCAAGAGCCAUCAGCAGAGACGGAACAAACAUACCUACACCCCGGUCCCCAGGCUGACAGGAUAGCUGGAGUUAGACAGAGGACAUGGGCAGUCCUGCAUCCAACCAAUGGCAGCCCAGAGGCACAGCGGGACUCUUACAGCCCCCACUACCCACCACCAAAGCUGGUAUUUAAAUAGAGAGCUGGACUUCUGGCUCCAGGCCCGGUAGCCACAUAAGUCACAGCUGAUAGCAUGCCCACAGUACACCACUGAGCUGGUGGUCAGAGGCAUCAGCCAUGGCCUCCAUCCCUCGCCAGCACGGGGACCUCAGGAAAGUCAUCUCCUUAAGUCUCAGCACGAUUACCUGGAAAAUGAAGCAAUAUUCUAUCUCCCAGACUCCUGAGAAGAUUAAAUGACCUACUUUCAGUGCAAGAGUUCAGAGUCAUACCUAGCCCUUGGGAAGGGCCUCUCAGAGGCCCACAGAAAGGGACUGUUUCGUUCACUCUUACCACAGUACUUGUCACUGGGGAAAUGAGCAGUAAACAUUUGUUGAGUGAUGAGAAAUGAGUAAAUGAAUGUAGUCCAAUC
Molecule: long non-coding RNA, 892 nt
Organism: Peromyscus eremicus (cactus mouse)
Lineage: Eukaryota; Metazoa; Chordata; Mammalia; Rodentia; Cricetidae
Exons: 2
Source: RefSeq, a predicted model, not a curated record